Molecule: long non-coding RNA, 1209 nt
Organism: Myotis lucifugus (little brown bat)
Lineage: Eukaryota; Metazoa; Chordata; Mammalia; Chiroptera; Vespertilionidae
Exons: 2
Source: RefSeq, a predicted model, not a curated record
AAGAGACCCCAUCGUUUCGCUGGGGGAGGCGCUGAAACCCUUGAAAUCAAAUGCUGGGACUUCUUUGCCACCUUGGCCUGGCAGAGCCCCCAUUCCGCUGAGCAAAAUUCACAGAAGAGUUCAUGCAAAGAAUGGGAAAUGCGCUGCCCCCGCCCCGAAAUUCCAAGAGCUUUUCCGCCGAGGAAAGCAGGUAACCGCUCAAAUACCCUUGGUCGUAUUUACAAUAUGUAACUGGUCGGAGCAAAACCUUUGCACAGACCAUGGGGAGCAGCCCCACAGCAGCCUGGGGAGAAGGCGCAUCGCCCCUCCCGCCGCGCACGCUCCGCUGUCAGACCAGACGCGGCUCUGAGGGCAAGUGGGGGAACCGCACGUCCCGGACCCGCACAGCCAGCAUCGUCACCCCCGGCGCCCGGGAGCAGGACGCUCGCCUGCAGCCCCCUCGCCUUACUGAUUGGAAAACUGCAUUUAAAACAGUGAUUUAUCCAACAAGUCGGAUUCUAACCCGUCUGCACGAUGUCAAAGGACAUCUCUGGCCGCUGCUCCACAAAUCUGACUCAUCACACACCGCACACGGCCUCUGGCAAAACGCCUCGCGCAUACGAGGUGUUCAAUAAAUGCGAGCUAGUAAGUGAAUUGAUUAAACCGAGCCAGGCAACGUUUUCAGUGAAUCGGAUCGGAACCCCGGAAUGCUCUUCGCUAGCUGGGCGAACCGUUUAGCUCUGGCAUCUUUCUCUCCAUGGAGGAUAGAUAGUUCAGUAAGUAUUUGUGGAAAGAAGACCAAGUUUCCAGCUUCCAUUAGACCACCCUCAACUCACACAUUUUACUUAGGUGUGUAAGUAACCCCAAGCAAGCUACAACGAGGCUUGGCAGAGAAAGCAUACUUUUUCUUUAAGGUGACCUAGCAUACUUUUCUUAUACUAUCUGGCUGCUUUAUAACUUGAUUCACUGAUGGGAAUUUUAACUUUCCAGUUGCAAAGAACAUGCUCCCUACUCGGCGCGGAAACGACUGUCCUGAAUUUGGAGUUCAGUAAUAAUUACAGUUACCACAUUUCCUUCCUAUGGAAACAUACUAAUAAAGCAGGAUAUGUAGGAAGGCAACGUGCAUUUUACCCCUCUAUGUAAGAAAAGAAAAAAUGGAGAAGAUAGCAACUUGAUUUUACUAUGUGUAUCUGUUAAAAUAUUGGUAAAAUUAAAGAUAUUGGAAAAAUA